This 465-nucleotide ribosomal RNA is filed under the name Vreelandella stevensii. RNAcentral describes it as "partial 16S ribosomal RNA". It matches the Rfam family "Bacterial small subunit ribosomal RNA", at positions 338 to 795 of the family's 1533-position model. Lineage: Bacteria; Pseudomonadati; Pseudomonadota; Gammaproteobacteria; Oceanospirillales; Halomonadaceae. The record is from RNAcentral.
CCUACGGGAGGCUGCAGUGGGGAAUAUUGGACAAUGGGCGAAAGCCUGAUCCAGCCAUGCCGCGUGUGUGAAGAAGGCCUUCGGGUUGUAAAGCACUUUCAGUGGGGAAGAAAGCCUUGGGGCUAAUACCCUCGAGGAAGGACAUCACCCACAGAAGAAGCACCGGCUAACUCCGUGCCAGCAGCCGCGGUAAUACGGAGGGUGCGAGCGUUAAUCGGAAUUACUGGGCGUAAAGCGCGCGUAGGCGGUCUGAUAAGCCGGUUGUGAAAGCCCCGGGCUCAACCUGGGAACGGCAUCCGGAACUGUCAGGCUAGAGUGAAGGAGAGGAAGGUAGAAUUCCCGGUGUAGCGGUGAAAUGCGUAGAGAUCGGGAGGAAUACCAGUGGCGAAGGCGGCCUUCUGGACUGACACUGACGCUGAGGUGCGAAAGCGUGGGUAGCAAACAGGAUUAGAUACCCCGGUAGUC